Molecule: non-coding RNA, 152 nt
Filed under: Roseibium alexandrii
Lineage: Bacteria; Pseudomonadati; Pseudomonadota; Alphaproteobacteria; Hyphomicrobiales; Stappiaceae
Description: Labrenzia alexandrii FMN sequence
Rfam family: FMN riboswitch aptamer (RFN element)
About the family: The RFN element is a highly conserved domain that is found frequently in the 5'-untranslated regions of prokaryotic mRNAs that encode for flavin mononucleotide (FMN) biosynthesis and transport proteins. This element is a metabolite-dependent riboswitch that directly binds FMN in the absence of proteins. In Bacillus subtilis, the riboswitch most likely controls gene expression by causing premature transcription termination within the 5' untranslated region of the ribDEAHT operon and precluding access to the ribosome-binding site of ypaA mRNA.
Source: RNAcentral
AACAGUUCUCGGGGCGGGGUGAAAGUCCCCACCGGCGGUAUCAGGGAAACCUGGAGCCCGCGAGCGCCUUGGUAAGUCGUGUUUGCCGAGGGUCAGCAGAUCCGGUGAGAAGCCGGAGCCGACGGUUAUAGUCCGGAUGAUAGAGAGCUUGG